GCGCCCGUAGCUCAGUUGGAUAGAGCAACGGAUUUCUAAUCCGUUGGUCACUGGUUCGAAUCCAGUCGGGCGCA
Molecule: transfer RNA, 74 nt
Filed under: Verrucomicrobiota bacterium
Lineage: Bacteria; Pseudomonadati; Verrucomicrobiota
Description: Verrucomicrobia bacterium tRNA-Arg
Rfam family: tRNA
About the family: Transfer RNA (tRNA) molecules are approximately 80 nucleotides in length. Their secondary structure includes four short double-helical elements and three loops (D, anti-codon, and T loops).
Source: RNAcentral